Molecule: long non-coding RNA, 3053 nt
Organism: Oxyura jamaicensis (ruddy duck)
Lineage: Eukaryota; Metazoa; Chordata; Aves; Anseriformes; Anatidae
Exons: 2
Source: RefSeq, a predicted model, not a curated record
ACAGGAAUUUAGCGGAGCCACAAGAAGGCUGAGAGAACAAAAAGCCCAGGAUUUGAGCAAGGGCCCUUGCUUCUGUGAGCUCUCCACCAGGCUUGGAAAUGUACCAGCUGUGAUGAAGAACCCAUGGAAGAGAGAGCAGGAGCUGGACAGGAGGCUCCCUGCCUCGGUGUGGGGCCAGGCACCACGGAUGAGUGAUGAAAUGAGGCAGGACUGACAAGGAGGCAGAGGUGAGGAGGUGGGAGGAUGCUUUUAGAUUUGGAUAGGAAGAUCUGAGGUUCAGUGGUGGAGGAGAAGCCAAGAGAAGGGUAGGUGUCAGGGAUCACAGCUAGUCAGCAACUCCCUUUAGCCCAAGGUCAUCCAUAGUUCCAGCUCGUGGGCUUGGCGUGGAGGCAAACAUCUGAAAUUGUGAAAUCCCUCCUGUGCUGCCACCCGCGUGGACAGACUGAUGAGCCUUGGGGAGGCAAUCUGUCCUGCACAGCCAAACACGAGAAUAAAUCAGGCUGCAGCGUGGGCCAGGAGGUGCCUGGCCAUGCUUGGAAAGAGAUCUUCAAAAGCUGCCCAGCCAUGGUCCUGGGCUACCUGCUCCAGGUGACCCUGCUUAAGGAGGGCUCUUGGACAAGAUGACCUUCAGAGGUCCCUUUGAGGCCAACCACAAACAUUUGGUGAUUCUGUAAAACCUGGAAGGGGUCAGCCCCCACCACUUCAAAGAUGGGACAGCUCUUCCACCGACAGGCAUUUGGUGCCUCCACUGGUUUAGUUUCAGUUUAUAUCUAAUAAAGCCUCUCGCCAAAGUUUUAACUGCAUCUGGAGAAUCCAACCCCAGGCACCAGAGAGAGCCGAAGGGCAAUUUCUGCCUAUGGCAACGAGGGAGGAGCAGCCUUUGCAAGAAGAAGAUGUGCAAGAACAGUCAUAGAGACAAGCAAUUUGGCAUCAAUCUCUCCUCGGUUCGCAUUAUUGGGGUAUCGAUAGCAAGGUUAAUAGCCCUAUGGUUCCGGAUUCGAUGUGCAAGACUGUUUAUAGCGUCUGCUGAGAGGCGGUUACUUUUACUCUCGUUGGCAAAUCAUUGUUUACGUCUCGUGUUUCGAAAUGCAGCUGGGUUCCAGCCUUUCCUCACCAACUGGCGGAGCCGAGCGAAUCCAUGCCCAUGUGCUGCUCUUUAGCAACACAAACAGCACAGCCAGAUUCCACUUAGCGGGCUUUGCUAACCCUCCAAACACGCAAGGCUUGGCCACGAGCACGCCAGCUUGUUUCCGAUGGCUCCUCGAGCCGAGAGCACAGCCACAGGAGUUAAGAGUGGUUGAGUGCUCGUGAAGUAUCCCAAAAUCAGAACGGGCUUGAUUCUUGCAUCAAAGUUGGGGUGUAAUUUAUCUUCCUGGCACCACCAACUUCCCUUCCACUUGUGAUUCUGAAGACAUCUGUUGACUCUUGUGAAGCUCGUUUCAUUCUGGCCUUCUCUCCACCUUUUCUGGGACUAUCAGCAACUCCGAGUUGCUCUUGUCCAACCUGAAGACUGGUACGUUGCAAAAAAGACCCGGAGAGCCCAAAUGGGACAUCAAGUUAUGAAGGUGGAGAUGAAAAGCUAUAGCCCCAAGAAGAUCUACACAGAUAAUUAUGGUCAGCUCAGAGGGAUCACAUUCAUCAAUUUUGAGCUGCACUAAACCACAGAAUAACCACAGAAUCAGAGGAUAUCCCAAUCUGGAAGGAACCCACAAGGAUCAUGGAUUCCAACUCCUGGCUCCACAUGGGACCACCCAAAAAUCAAACCAUAAGUCCAAGAGCACCGUCCAAGCACUCUUUGAACUCCAGCAGGCUUGGUGUUUAGGCCUGGGGAGCCUAAAAAGCUUGAGUGGUGCACCACAGCUUGAGAGGUGCCCUAAAGCCACCCUUGCUUAUUCCAGCUUGCGUGCAUUCUCAUUCCCCUUGAAGUUCAGCCCACAGUGAUGGGAAGAAGGGACAAAACACAUCAUCCAGAGCUUUGGGAAGAAGGGACAAAAUACCAGUAGCUGUUAUUGCUGGACUUCACACACUCAAGUCCUGCACUGCCUAGAUAAGCCCUAGGUGCCUUUUUUACAUUGGCAGAUCUUCUAUGCAGAACUCCAACAGUGACAUCUUAGUAUGUGCACUGGGACUUAUGGUCCAACCGAUGCCACAGACGUUAUCUUUAAUCUUUUAUUUGGUUAAACUCCAAGGCUUAGACACACCUUAGAGGUGAAGACCAAGCUGAGAGCAAUGCCCUAUUUAUUGGUGUGAGCAGCAAAUGGGGUGGGGGUGUGUAGAAUCAAGAGGAAUUGUAGCAGAGGUGUUACAAUGAUAGGUAAAUGCUAUAUUUUAGCCUAAUAGACAAAGAGAGAUCUGACAAACAUGGGGCAACGUUUGAAUUUAAACAGAAAUAAAGGUUAAAAAAAAAGAAAUUUAGAAGAAGCAAGGGCAGAGCACUGAGCCAGCACAAAUCUUGAUUUGUUUUAUACAGGUGGGAAAUUUGAGGUCUGGUGGCAACACUUAGAUCCAACUCCCAAGAAAGUGCAUUUUGAGAGCUGGAGCUGCCUAGGGAAGAGUUUCUCCCUGUGGGGAGGCGAGAGGGCUCAGAGGAGAGGGAAGGGCCUGGGAGAAGCCUCUUCUUGUUUUUCAGUCUGGUCCCAGGUUCGGGCUGCUGAUGGAGCGGCGAGGGGUGGCUGACUCAUCAGGCUUUGUGCUGUUUCGCAGAAGCCGUGCAAAGCUCCUGACACCCUCUGAUUUUGUGUUACAUAAAGUAGAUACACCCUAGCGCCAGAUGUGCUAUAUCACAUUCCUCUUUAACAGAAUCCUUCGGCUCUCCAAACCAUGUCAUGUUUAUGUAGACUCCCAAGCACCAAUUAUGCAAUCUUUUCCCAUUCUCUCUCGCCAACAAACAUCCAAUUAAAAUGAGCAGUUGCCAUGGUUUCCUCCUCACCAACCUAGGUAGUGAUGAGAUGAGAAGUUUGGAUUUGUGGAAAAAAAAAAAAAAAAGUAUUUUCUUGUUAGGAAAUGUACUCAUUAGGCUGAUGGUCUUAAAAUGUUCUGUUCAGCCCAUUUGG